Hypanus sabinus (Atlantic stingray) is the source of this 705-nucleotide long non-coding RNA. RefSeq lists it as uncharacterized. The transcript has 3 exons. NCBI's taxonomy places the organism in Eukaryota, Metazoa, Chordata, Chondrichthyes, Myliobatiformes, Dasyatidae. The record is from RefSeq and is a predicted model, not a curated record.
UUUAUUAUCAAGGCACAUAUAUGUCAUGAUACAAUUGCCUUGAGCUUAAUUUUCUUGCUGGCAUUCACAGUGAAUACAAAGAAACACAAUGGAAUCAAUGAAAAUCUGCCCUCGACAAAGACAGUAAACAACCAAUGUGCAAAAGACAACAAAUUGUACUAAUACAUAAAAAGAAACAAUAAUAAAUAAACAAUAAACAUCAAGAACACAAGUUGUAGAGUCCUUAAAAGUUAGUCCAUAGGUUAUGGAAUCAUUUCAGUAUUUGGUGGAGUGAAGUUAUCCCCUUUAGUUCAAGAGCCUGAUGACUGUAGGAUAACAACUGUUCCUGAACUUUUCAUAUGUGACUUGAGGCUCUUGUAUCUCCUUCCUGAUGGCUGCAGUGAGAAGAGAACAUGGACUGGAUGGUGGGGGUCCUUAAUAAUGGGUGCUGCUUUCCUGUGCCAGUGGCCAUGUUGGCUCCGUAGUUAAGAAGACUUCGGCUGUCAUCAAUCGUGGAAUUGAGUUUAGGGGCCGAGAGGGUCUCGAUCCAGAAUAUCGACUCACACCUUCUGCCAACAUAGAUGCUGCUUGACUCACUGAGUCCUCCCAGCAUUCCGUAUAACAUGAUGUUUAUUUCCCUUGACAAUCUUUAGUCCUUCUUUCCAUUUAAAUCAGAACAUGAAGGGAAAGUUGUUUCACUGGUGGCUGGAACUUACAUUCUUUAAA